Molecule: long non-coding RNA, 6478 nt
Organism: Harpia harpyja (harpy eagle)
Lineage: Eukaryota; Metazoa; Chordata; Aves; Accipitriformes; Accipitridae
Exons: 3
Source: RefSeq, a predicted model, not a curated record
AAUACCUCGGUUGGAUAUCAAAUGUUAGCAGCUCCGACACAUCCAGUGCUGGAACCAUUGAUUGCAAGAUUCCCAACAAAUUGAUGGAGCUACUUGAACGCAAAAUCUGGAUGGCAAAAGGUCACGGGGGCCCAUUCAUCCAGCUCAGUUGCCCUUCCUUUGAACAAAAAUGGGAGUCCCCUGGCUUCUUAAACCCAUUGCUCUCCAGAGGCUCCUGGCUACAGUAAAGAAGAUGAAGAAUAUCACUUCUCAGGAAGGAACUUACCCUGAGGAAUGUUUUGGUUUCUACAUAUCCCUGACUUUUCUUUGAUCAUCUGAUAUUCCUGAGGUUUGCAAGACUCUGUUUCAGGCUAAGUUUACACAUCACAGUGUGGUGCUGCAUAAAGAGAUCAAGUUAGUGCUAAAUGGAAGCCAGAAGCUGUAUGGUUGUAAGAAGUCCUUGGAAAGAAGAGAAGCACUAUUGUCUCCCUUCCACAAAAUGGAGAACAUUUUAUAAUGCAAAAGAUGAAGAGAUUGAAUAACUUGACAAAGAUUAUUAAAAUGUCUUUUGCAACACAGAUGACGCGCAUUACAAGUCCCUGCCUAUCACUCUCAUCGCUGCAAUGGAAACACAUGCCCCCUCAAUUGAGGGUGCACAGAAGAUGUUCAAGGAAUUAGCAGAAGGGUUAAGGGAGCAGAAAGCAGGCGAAGCGGCUGCUGUUUAAUGAAUGCCGUUUGCCCACCACGCAGUUCAGUGCUCCACGGGGGCUGCCAGCACAAAAGGGUCCCAGUCCUGCACAGUGUUCAGCUGCAGCAGCAGUGAAUCUUCAUUAGUGGAUUUAAAUGUAAGAACUGGGGCAUAUAUAUGAAUAUUAAUGAAGAAAGAUUGACUAACUUCAUGCUAUUAAAAGAUUUCUAGUCCCAGAGAGUAGGUGGAGCCUUUUAAAAAAUGUGUAAUGAAAUAUAAUAUGUGAUACACAACUUUAAGAGCACUAAGAAUGUGGAUUUUGAUCCCUUCUAAUUUUCUGUUUAUAUAGUGCUUUGCAAGUGUGAAAUGGAAAUAUGCCUUCAUUUGAACAUUCUUCUUUUUUCUUCCGUAUGUCCCAUGUAGCGGUGUUUGUUAAUGCAGGGUUUCAUGGCCACGCAUUCUGGGGAGCCGCUUGGCAGCUAGUAUUGAUUUCUGCUCUAAAAAGUAGAGCAUCAAAUGCUUGUGUAUUUAUAAAUGUAUGUGUCCAUGCAUAUAUAUGCAUUCAUACAUAUAAAAAUGGGUGUUGCAAAGAUAUAAAAGACAUAGGAAGGUUAAAUCAGAAUUGUAAUUAAUAACCUUGCCAGUUCUAAUGUAAACUUUUGUGCCAGCAGUACAUGUAACACAUAAAUGCUGGAAAGCAUAAUAUACCAUACCAUGCCUGUGAAAGGAAUCCCUGCGCAAGAGGCUGGUGCAUUACUAUACAUUCACUAGAAACCAGAGAUUCAGGGCAGCAGAAUUUCCAGACAGUCAUGUGAGAAAAAAGUACUGCAGCAUCAAGGCAGCCAGUCCACUUAUUUCUGUCUGUUCAUGAUGUUAAAUAAUUGCCAAGGCCUGCAUUGCUAUCAGUUACUUCUCAGAGUAGCUUAAUGAUAGGAAACCAGCUUUGUGAGUGAUUGCCUGUACAAGUGAGUAGAGAUGUUACAUGUGUCUGUCUGAUCCUCUGCAAGGAGCAUGCGACUGUGGCAGCUAUAACAAAGCAGAUGAAGAAAAUGAAAGGAUCCUUAGGGAGCCAAGAUAUAUUUUUUACUCUUUGGUGUCUGUGAUGGAGACGGCUGGCAUAUAGCACAAAAUGAAAUUUGUGUUCCCGAAGACUUGCUUCUGGGCUAGCACUAAUAUUCACAAAUAAAAUACCAUGUAAAUAAGGUGCCAGAAUGGCCAUGUUUGCAGGUUCAAUGAGAAGGGGCUACUAUAAAGCAUGCCAGCCAAAAUAAGAUGGGAGAAUCUUGCCUUACUGUCUGAAGUAUUCCAUAAAGGUAAUUAGUAACAGGGUAUCUGUGUGUGUGUAAUCUGGGUGUGCGGCUAUAUCAUUAGUACGUAAAAGGUGAAAUGCGAAGCUAAAAACAGUGAGUUUGUUCUUUAUCGCACUCCUGUUUAAAAUCUUACUUGUUUUUUUCCCUCUUUUUCUGCUUAUUUUUCACCCUUUAAUAUCCAAAAUAUCAUGUCUCCAGUACCUUUUCAUUGAUGACGGUCAUUUGGAGACCUGAAUAAUGAUGUCAGCUAAAUGUGUAGCUUUUAUAAGGAACAGAAAUUUCACUGCCUGGAGAGGCAGCUGUUCCUUUAGGGCAAAAAAGAUGGAAGAUAUUUAAGGCAGCAAAAAUGAAAAAGGAAUUUAAUUUUAUUCUUUUGAUUCAUGGGUACCCAAAAUGUGACAUCAAGGUUGGGAUUCAUUUCAUCUAACAUUAUCGAUCUACAAGAAAUGACCUAGUUAUUGAAGCCUUCCUCUAUCGACAAAGGAGAGAGCCAGGCAAGGCCAGAGGUUGAUGUCUGCCCUAUCUUAUCAUGAAAUGCAUAUUAUUUCUUUCCAUUCACAACAAAGGAAUGAUGCUUAGAGACUGAGUUUCAAAGAAAUGUAUGCAUGUAACUUCAGUUAAAAAGGAUCUAUUAUGUUUGUCCUGGUUGAGUCAAGGAAUGCAAGUUCUUUCCAAAGUGGAUGUAGGAAUGAUUUCCUCCUACCAAAAGGGAGAGGUCAGCAAUCAAGGAUGCAGUACAUUGAGCACAAAUGAGGAAAUGCAGGAUAGGUAUUUCAGAGGAACGGAAAGAGGGAUGUAUUAGAGCUGGAGUCAAGCCUUCUGAAGCUUCAAGGAAGUACACUCCACAGUAUGACAUUAUCCACAUUUUUCAAGACGUACAAAAUAUGCUUCCUUCCAGAAAGGCAGGUCAGUUGGCUAGGUUAGUCCAUUACCUUGAUUUGGGGAACUUGGCACAUUGUCACUGACUCUUGUAAGUCUCAAUUUCUUCAGUAUUUUUCUUUAAGUCCUAGAUCCUGGAGUCAUGUGAUUUAAUAAAAACUUGGACUUUACUUAAAAAGAAAAAAAGCUCAAUUUUUUUUCCUAGAUUGUGGAGUAUAACUUGAAGACGCAAACUGUAAAGGCUCCCAAAAGGGAAAAGCAAAUACAAAACCAGACAUGUAUGAUCCCUUAGCCAGCCUUAUGAUUUCUGAAUACUCAGACUUGAACACUAAGUUGACAUUAAUGUAGUGUUAACAUCAUCCAUCGCCAGCCUUCCAAAACUGUGUUAGCUGUGUUAUACAUGGAAGGAAAAAAGGAUGUAAUUCUCUGUAUGGCCUUCCUCUUUUCUUCCCCUUCCCCUGUGUAUUCAUAAAGCCACACUUUGCCCCAUAUGUGCAGCUCAAGAGACAUUUAGAGGUACAAUUAUGGUGCAAACAUAACUGGGUUAUUACCACAAUAACACAACAAACUGCUCUAGCUAAAGUAUAUGUAUUGCAGGCCUGUGAUGUUAAAAUCAGAUUUCCUUAAAGUGCCUUUGGUUGCAGACAAUAAAAACAGCCUGUAUAGCAGAAGACCACUGAAAAUAACUUUUAAAGAAAGGAUCCUUUUUUACAAUAGCAGCAUUUCAUCUGAUGUGCAGACCUUGGUUCAUAAUUGAAAGUGAGACAGCCAAGGGAACUAGUAGGAUUAGGCUAUGGGAAUUCAACUGAACAAUGUUUUGCAUUCAGAUAAUUGCAUGAAAUUGGGCUAUUAGUGUAAGUUUUGCAAAUUGCAAUAACAUAAAACAAAGUAAAAUAUUCCCAGUGUAUACAUUCAACUAAUGUGCUAAAAGGGAACCACAACUGGUUUCAGACAGAGCACAGAGAAUUUCCAUUAACUAUUCAGAGCUGUGUCCAAAUAUUGUUCUCAGUCUCACAGGUUCCUCAAAUGGACUUUCAAAGGGAAACUCUUUUUAUAAAACAGUAAGUAAAUAAACAUAAUUUAAUAGUUAACUUGUGUUUUUCACUGGCCAGGACAUUACUAACAUGUCCUUUAUCUGACCUUAACGUGACGUUGCAUAUAAUAUCACUGAAAAGAACUGGAGAAGGAAAGAGUUUCAGCUCAAAUUGCAGCUGCUCACUCCAGUACCUCUCCUGACCAAAUGUCAGCAGUAGCUGCAGCUCAUGCCUUUUUAACUUCUUCCAUGGGAUAGGAUAAUUCUGUCCUGUGGCCUUCCCCUAGCUAAGCAAAAGGGUUACGAGGAGAGAUGUCCCAAAUCUUCCUUUGUCUUAACUUCUUGGUCUUUACUUUUUACCCUGCAUUCACCCUUGGGACUCAACCUCACUAUUUGGAAUGAACAUCUACAGAGGACAGUUUUAGAGGUGGCUUUUGACCAUGCAGCUCCAGCCCAGCCAAGUCAUCACAGCAGACAAAUGCUGGCCCACUACCGACUCCGGCUAGUUAUUCUAAUGCUUUGAGCUCAGUCUGGCUAAUGCCUACUGCCAUGGCACCUGAGAAGGAAGACUGCAAUUAGUCAUGCUUUUAUCUUUAUUGAAGACUUGGCUGCUCAGGAGCAUGCGCCAGCCACAUGACUUGCUGCACUGCUGAGGCGAAUGCCUGGGUCACUAAUGUCUCUGUGGGGUUCGGAGGCAAUUUCCAAUCUGCCUGUCGCUUCUCUGCCUUUUUGAGGGAAGGGAAAUAAUUUUAAUUAUUUCUGUGAUGAACGUAGGAUAUGAUAAUAUCAAAUAACCAAUUAAUGUAUCUGUGCCAGUAAUUCAAUCUCUUUACUAGUGUUUUUCAGCUUAAAAUCCAUAUCAGAGUACAGAAGAAAAUACCAUGUCAGCAUCCUGUAAUGAAUGUAAACGUAAAAGACAGUUGAGCUGUGAAUAAGAGGUACCUUAGUAACACUGGAGCUUUCAGCUCAUUUCUCUGUCACUGAAUUUAGCAGCGGAGUAAGCCUUUCAUGGCAUCUAAUGUUGUUCCCUGGAUUCUGCUCUGUGUCCAGUCUACGUGAGCCUUAAAAUUCUGAAAGAGGAGGGGUUUGUUGCUGUCCUUGGAGGGUGAUUUCCAUGCUGGUGUAUCCCACUGCCAGAAAUUUUAUCCGGAGCCUUUUUUGGAUUAAAUUAUUUCUCUUUCAAACAUUGCCCUUAACAAACUCUUCUUUUGCUUGACGGUUAAGGCUUUUCAAGUGGUUUAUGUCUCUCUAUUAUGUCUGCCUGUCACAAGUCUGUACAACGGUCUUUCAAAGUUUACUUAGGGCACAGCUGCACUGUGACGCACCACGGUGCAAAUAUCCCUGAGGCAAAGCUGAAUGAGCCAGCACCAAAACUGGGAUUUGUGUGUUGGCUAUUUAGUAGAGAGAGACAAGGACCAUCUUUUCUGGCUUGCUUUGUUCUGUGUCUGUUGAGCUUGAUACAACAGGGUCCUGGUUUACAGGCAGGGUUUGUAAGCUCUGCUUUCAGAAAAGAAAAAAGUAAUUAAAGUAGCAAGAAGUUGCACAUCACUCCAACUGCAGUGUUCAAUGCUAAACAGGGGUGUUUGGUGGGGAACAAUGCUGGUUGAAGAAAAUAAUGUGAAACAUGGUUUAGGAAUCACACAAUUUCGGCCUCAAGUAGAGUCACAUACAGUAAGUUUCUUGCUUUACAGGGAACUGGAUGGUGACAUUUCGCUGAGAGAUGGGGAAGCAACAUGGGGAGAAAAGGUCUUUAUGGUGAUGUAAAGGAAGGAAGACUGUAGGAAGAUGAAUGUGAAAGAAGAAAAGAGUAGGGAACAGAAGUAUAGGUAUUUCAUGACAGGUAUUGAAUGGGAGGGAGCCUAGGGUUGUAACUUCUAGAGGGACCAGAAACCGUUAGCAGUAGGAAACCAAAGCAGAUUUGAGGGAAGGGGAAAGGGCUGUUAAAGCAUUUCUUUCAGGAAGAUCAAGCUACUAUCAUCUGUCAGCAGGAGCAAAAGCUCACUAGAGGUGAAUGUCAUGGGCAAGAUUUUGAAAGUGUUCAUUCCAUCUGCUCCUCCUAAAAUCUGGCAAAGCGUCUGCUGAUUGCCUGAUUUAGUUAUUCUUACUUUCCAAAAAACACUGAUCCUUGAGUCUGAAAAACCUACUGAUCUGCCUUAUUCAUUAUAUAAAUUAGGAUAGCAUUUGAUUAAUCUUUGGUAUAAACUACAUCUGGGCCAGACAGGAGGAAGGCUUAUCUUUUUAUAUGAAGUCCAAAUGGUUUCCGGAAUGGGAGACGUACCCUGAAUUAUGAAGUGAUGAUUGGAAACAGAUGUGGGGGAGGAUUUUUGCAAGGUCUGGAUAUAUUUUGGAAGUAUUUAUUGACAUUGCAUAAAGUGGCAGGAACGUUCGUUGAUUCUGUUUUGUGGGAGGAGUUUAAUGGAUAUAUGUGUAAGUGACCUUUUCAGUGAGCACUCUGUUUAAAAUGGGAUUACCAAGGAUAUUUUAUAGUAAAAUCACUGUACUUGAAAUUUACUUCUCUUAAGUUCCAAAACUACAACAGACAAGAUCUGGCUUGCUCAUUUUUUAUGUGUCAUUCCAUAACACAGAGAA